AUGGUGUCCUUUGAUGUAGUCUCUCUCUUCACUUGCAUACCCACCACGGAGGCAGUGGAGACUGUCAGAAAACGACUACAAGAAGACAGCUCCUUGGAAGACAGGACCAACUUCACACCCGAUCAGAUCUGCACACUGUUAGACCUCUGCCUUACCACAACAUACUUCAAAUACAACGAAGGCUUCUACAGACAAAAACAUGGCUGCGCCAUGGGCUCCCCCGUGUCACCUAUUGCAGCCAACCUUUACAUGGAGGAAGUGGAAAGGAAGGCUCUUGGCUCUUUCAAAGGAAGAGCACCCAGCUACUGGUACAGAUAUGUAGAUGACACCUGGGUCAAAAUCAAGACACAAGAAGUGGAAUCCUUCACUGCGCACAUUAACGCUGUGGAUAAAAACAUCAAGUUCACCAGGGAAGACACAAAGGAUAACUGUUUGCCUUUCCUGGACUGCGCCGUGCACAUUGAAGAGAAUGGCAACCUCAACAUCGAAGUUUACCGGAAGCCCACACACACGGACCAGUACCUCCUCUUUGACUCCCAUCACCCUCUGGAACACAAACUUGGAGUAAUUAGGACCCUACACCACCGGGCAGAACUUGUUCCCUCUAAGCCUGAGGGAAAAAAGAAGGAACACACACACAUAAAGGAAGCCCUCAAAACAUGUGGUUAUCCUAACUGGGCGUUCAUAAAGUCAGCAAAGAGGCACAGAAAAGAAGAUCAGACACCAGCGAGGGAGGAUAAGAAAGACAGACGCAACAACGUUGUCAUCCCCUAUGUAGCCGGUGUAUCAGAGAAACUCAGGAGAGUUUUCUCCAAGCACAACAUCCCAGUGUACUUCAGACCCAGCAACACACUCAGACAGAAACUGGUUCACCCGAAAGACAAAACUCCAAAACACAGACUUAACAACGUGGUGUAUGCUGUACAGUGCAGCGAGGAAUGCCCAGACCUCUACAUUGGAGAGACCAAACAGCCACUUCACAAGCACAUGGCACAACAUAGAAGAGCCACCUCCACAGGACAAGACUCAGCAGUCCAUCUGCAUCUUAAGGAUAAAGGACACUCUUUCGAGGAUGCCAAUGUUCACAUUUUGGACAGAGAGGACAGAUGGUUUGAAAGAGGAGUGAAAGAGGCCAUCUAUGUCCACUGUGAGCGACCAUCUUUGAACAGAGGCGAUGGUUUACGACACCAACUGUCUGCCAUCUAUAAUCCAGUUUUGAGUUCCCUCCCCAGACGCCUUAACGCCCACUCACAUCCUGGGCCAUCUGACCUCAGGAAUUCACAUGACAAGGUGGGGCCAGGUUUCACAAUGAGCUCACCCGAAACCCUGGCUGAUUAG
Molecule: long non-coding RNA, 1338 nt
Organism: Oreochromis niloticus (Nile tilapia)
Lineage: Eukaryota; Metazoa; Chordata; Actinopteri; Cichliformes; Cichlidae
Source: Ensembl